Long non-coding RNA from Etheostoma spectabile (orangethroat darter), 173 nucleotides. RefSeq lists it as uncharacterized. NCBI's taxonomy places the organism in Eukaryota, Metazoa, Chordata, Actinopteri, Perciformes, Percidae. The record is from RefSeq and is a predicted model, not a curated record. The transcript is spliced from 3 exons.
AUCCCACCGAGUAGGGUAUCCAAUCAAAUCGAAGCAUUGGCGUCAAUGCGUCUGCCGUUGUUUACCUUUCGCUUCUUCUUCUAGUCUGUAGAAAAAGCAAUGUCGGCUGCCUCUGCUCAUUAGCGCCACCUCUGUUCAGGAGAAGACUACAACUAGUCUAUUAGACCGCUGAC